Molecule: long non-coding RNA, 759 nt
Organism: Dicentrarchus labrax (European seabass)
Lineage: Eukaryota; Metazoa; Chordata; Actinopteri; Moronidae
Exons: 2
Source: RefSeq, a predicted model, not a curated record
CACAUUUUUGUUUUUCCUCUAAGUUCUGAUAACUUAUACUGUUAUAUGUGGUACAGAACUGUGUUCAUUGUCCUAUGUUUGAGGUGGAGACACCUUAACAAGUGUGUUUCCUGUUCCAAGUGCAAUAGUUAAAUCCAAUUGUUCUGAUGACACUUAAAACAGUUUGUGCAGAAUUUUGUGGGUUUUCUUGUCUUUUUUUUUUUAUGGGUGGGGGGGCGCUCAAAGGGGGUCUCGUCCCGGAUGUCAUUCAAGGUAGAACCGCCACUGGCUAUGUGUGUCCCCCUCCAACAUCUCAACCUCAGGGUGUGAAUUACAAGGGAGCCAGAGGGAGCUGGGCUCCUCUUAAUAAGACCUGAGCUCCGCUGAAAACAUGAUUUGUGAAAUUGUGUGUGUGGUCUCUGAAACAGUUCUGGUAUCAGCCCUGGCAAAAGACAUUUUAGGCCACAAUGAUUUCUUUCCUUCUAGAGACUACCAGGCCUUUCUUUGCUCUUGUUUGCAGGAGAAAGUGAAGUAAUUCACUCAUUCAUCAUUAAGAGGUGAAGGCAACUUAUUCCACUGAGACACAACUUCCUGAAGGGACAAUAUGCUAUUUCUACCAUGUAUUUCUGUUAUUGGGGUUAUGUGUAAACUUACUGUUGAUGUAUUAUUUGUGCACAAUGGUGACUCUUCUUUUAUUCUUGUAAUCAGAACUGAAUUGUCUCAUUAACUCCUACCAGCAUCUGCUUUAAAAGUACUCUGAAUUAAAGCAGCUGUACUAUC